Molecule: long non-coding RNA, 1545 nt
Organism: Sycon ciliatum
Lineage: Eukaryota; Metazoa; Porifera; Calcarea; Leucosolenida; Sycettidae
Exons: 2
Source: RefSeq, a predicted model, not a curated record
CAAGCAGUUUGACCAUGACUUCGCAGCGCGUGCUCGAGUCGAGACAAGAUUUGAGGAAGAAGCUCAGCCGCUACUGGACUUGCGGAUUUGUUUUGACAUCGGCGGUUUUUGGAUAGCUUGGUUCUCCUGUCGACGUGUCGUGGAGAUGAAGACGCGGGAGAGUAAUCUGUCACCCACGACGCGGCCUCGCAUUCUGCGUACUGGACGAUUCAAGAAGCCGAGAAGGGGGACGCUUCGCAAGCUCGAACGAUCGAUCGAGUUCCUGAAAAACGGAAAGGGCGAUCUCCACCACCAACGCCACUGGAUUCGACUCCCGCGAAGAGGUCGUUCAGUGCCCCUCUUCACGGUCGACGAAUCGUUCAUCUCAGGUAUCUGGCUGUGGGAUUGUCUGCUUGCCAGAAUCCUGGAUGUGGCAAACCUCUGGCGCUCGUUGAUUGCGUUGAAGAGAAGAGGUACGGCCUGGGCAGCGUACUUGUCAUUCCGUGUCAGCAGUGUGGGAUGGAGAAUUAUAGAUACAGAUAGCCCUGUAACUGCUCAGCACCCUGGCCCCCGUGCUUCCACAAGCAACACCAAAGCUGCUUUGGCUACAGCCUCACAUUGAUUUAUAGUUCAUCGUUGGGAAUGAGUUCGCUGCUCAUGAUGCUAUUGCGGAUAUUGCGGCCCUAGUCGAAGCUCGCCCUGAUGCCAGUAUCCUGUAGCACUCUGUCACUUUUGCAUCAGCAUGUUCGGCGAUGGAGUUUGCAGAACAUCAGCAAAAGCGGCUGGCCACCCUUCAACCGUUGGUCCAAGCAACGUGCUGCUCUAAAUCAGUUGCAGUGCGGGCAGCUGCUAGUGGGUUGGUGAUGAAGCACUUUGUCUUGUCCUACAAACGAAAUGGUGAGCCAGCCAUUUCCAGACUGAUGAAGGAGCAAGUCAGAGGUAAGAAGCGGGUGACAGCCUCAAGGAAGAUUAUAUUAGCGGUGGCUGAACACCUAGCCAAGAACCAGCAGCAACCCAACUGUAAGCAACGCCCUGUGGCACAGCGCUUCACUUGUUUGUGCGCACCGUAAAAUGCCAUCAUUUUGCCAGUGUGGGAACACGUUCUAGCUCGCAUAGUUGAAGAACAAGAGGACUCAAUGUUUUCUGAUUCGUUCCAACAUGUCAGCUUUCAUUGUAGUUUGAUAUGGGGCUGUGCUAAGCGCUAUCACAGCUACAUGUGUAGUGUAUCCACUCCAAACCCCAUGCCCGGGAGAUUUCCGUCAAAUUUGUCUAAAUCGCAACUUGUACUCUUGACCCUUCCUUACUUUUUGGUCCCGUAUAUCCAUAAUCACUCUACUCUAGUUUCUGCCGAUCCCGCGUACCCGCGCGCGGUGUUUUCACGCACCGUAUUGCGUGGUACGAUAAUGUUGUACUUUCCUAUGCCGCGUACCCAUUUUUGGCUUUCUUCUCCCUUUUUAUGUAUUCUCCCUUCGACAAGAAGUGCUUCUCUUCCCUUGGUAGUUAGAAGACGGUUGUCGUUUUUUCUCUCUGAACUUCAGUUUAUCCAUGUAAUUCUGGUGCCCCUGG